UGAGGAAUUUGGACAGGAAGGGAGUUA
RNAcentral lists this non-coding RNA (27 nucleotides) under Homo sapiens (human). Lineage: Eukaryota; Metazoa; Chordata; Mammalia; Primates; Hominidae. The record is from RNAcentral.